GAGGUAUGGGACUGUAGGUAUAGAGGUAUGGGACUGUAGGUAUAGAGGUAUGGGACUGUAGGUAUAGAGGUAUGGGACUGUAGGUAUAGAGGUAUGGGACUGUAGGUAUAGAGGUAUGGGACUGUAGGUAUAGAGGUAUGGGACUGUAGGUGGAGGUAUGGGACUGUAGGUGGAGGUAUAGAGGUAUGGGACUGUAGGUGGAGGUAUAGAGGUAUGGGACUGUAGGUGGAGGUAUAGAGGUAUGGGACUGUAGGUGGAGGUAUAGAGGUAUGGCAUUGUAGGUGGAGGUAUAGAGGUAUGGGACUGUAGGUGGAGGUAUGGGACUGUAGGUGGAGGUAUAGAGGUAUGGGACUGUAGGUGGAGGUAUAGAGGUAUGGGACUGUGGUGGAGGUAUAGAGGUAUGGGAUUGUAGGUGGAGGUAUAGAGGUAUGGGAUUGUAGGUGGAGGUAUAGAGGUAUGGGACUGUAGGUAUAGAGGUAUGGGACUGUA
This 489-nucleotide long non-coding RNA is filed under the name Salmo salar (Atlantic salmon). RNAcentral describes it as "lncRNA (ENSSSAG00000114772.1)". Lineage: Eukaryota; Metazoa; Chordata; Actinopteri; Salmoniformes; Salmonidae. The record is from RNAcentral.